AUCUCAGGCUGGGGGGGCACUUCAUAUGGGGGUCCCUUUCCUCUCCAAUAAGGUGUGCAGCACUCCGGGGGUCUACCAUCAAUAUAUCCCCCGGGAUGAUCUGUGCAGGUUACCUGGAGGGAGAAACAGACUCCUCCCAGGGGAACAGCGGGGGCCCUCUGGCCUGUGAGGACUCGUCAGUAUGGAAGCUGGUAGAGGCCAUUAGCUGGGGCCAGGGCCGUGUCGACAGGAACAAGCCUGGGGUGUACACUCGAGUCACCCCAGUCCCUCAAAUGGAUCCACCAACAGAUGGAGUUCUCCUGGUUUUGACCAUUCUGCCUGCCCUGACCCUGCCUGCUGUUCUGUACCUUGUGACACUGCCCAGGUGUACUGACCUCUGCCUGCCCUUGACCUGUCGUUUGCCUGCCUCCUGUUUUUGUAAUACACUUUGUUACUUCGAACUGUCUGCAUCUGGGUCUUCGCCUGAGCCGUGAUAGUAUGAACUGGCCACAAUGAGCGCCGGAGAGAGGGAGCGGGAGUAGAUGUGACACACUCAGUCAGUAAGUCACUUAGGUAGUCAGUCAGUCACUUAGUCAGUCAGUCACUUAGUCAGUCACUUAGUCAGUCACUUAGUCAGUCAGUCAGUCACUUAGUCAGUCAGUCACUUAGUCAGUCAGUC
Molecule: long non-coding RNA, 658 nt
Filed under: Salmo salar (Atlantic salmon)
Lineage: Eukaryota; Metazoa; Chordata; Actinopteri; Salmoniformes; Salmonidae
Description: lncRNA (ENSSSAG00000115421.1, ENSSSAG00020074678.1)
Source: RNAcentral